This 498-nucleotide ribosomal RNA is filed under the name uncultured bacterium. Its description in RNAcentral is "partial 16S ribosomal RNA". It matches the Rfam family "Bacterial small subunit ribosomal RNA", at positions 30 to 523 of the family's 1533-position model. The record is from RNAcentral.
AUUGAACGCUGGCGGCGUGCCUUACACAUGCAAGUCGAACGGUAACAGGUCUUCGGAUGCUGACGAGUGGCGAACGGGUGAGUAAUACAUCGGAACGUGCCUAGUAGUGGGGGAUAACUACUCGAAAGAGUGGCUAAUACCGCAUGAGAUCUACGGAUGAAAGCAGGGGAACGCAAGACCUUGUUGUCUUAGAGCGGCCGAUGGCAGAUUAGGGAGAUGGUGGGAUAAAAGCUUACCAAGCCGACGAUCUGUAGCUGGUCUGAGAGGACGUUCAGCCACACUGGGACUGAGACACGGCCCAGACUCCUACGGGAGGCAGCAGUGGGGAAUUUUGGACAAUGGGCGAAAGCCUGAUCCAGCAAUGCCGCGUGCAGGAUGAGGGCCUUCGGGUUGUAAACUGCUUUUGUACGGAACGAAAAGCCCUGGGUUAAUACCCUGGGGUCAUGACGGUACCGUAAGAAUAAGCACCGGCUAACUACGUGCCAGCCGCCGCAGUAA